Non-coding RNA from Camelina sativa (false flax), 425 nucleotides. The record is from RefSeq and is a predicted model, not a curated record. Lineage: Eukaryota; Viridiplantae; Streptophyta; Magnoliopsida; Brassicales; Brassicaceae.
AGAAAAUAAUAAAUAUGAUAAAAAAAAAUUCUGAUUGUAUUCUUGUAGUAUUAGCAACAUCGUUUUCAAACUCCAACGCUUUAGCCUCGUCAUACACUGACUGCAAGUUUGAGUGUACAAAGUUAAAAGGGUACUCGGAUGGAGGGUGUGUUGGUUUAGCACCAAAAUUUCAGUGUUGUUGUAAGAAAUGAUAGAAAUUAUCUUUAAUAUAAAUUGGUGAUUUGAUUUCUUGUAUGCUCAAUAACUAAUCUUAUUGAACUGUUAUAAGUCUAAAUAAUUUCACAAAGAGAGGGAGAGAGAGAGAAAAUGGUUUUCCCUCCAAUUGUGAACCUCCCUUAUACUAGCCAUGGUUCAGUCAGCAAACCAUGUAGAUUGUUAUGUCAAAUACUCAAACUCAAUGAAAUUGGUUUAUAUAUUUGUUGUUA